Molecule: long non-coding RNA, 121 nt
Organism: Tyto alba (common barn owl)
Lineage: Eukaryota; Metazoa; Chordata; Aves; Strigiformes; Tytonidae
Exons: 3
Source: RefSeq, a predicted model, not a curated record
CUUGGGUGUAUUAGUGGAUGGAAAACUGACUAUGAGCCAGCAAUUUGCACUCACAGAUCAGAAAGCCAACUGCAUCCUGGACUACAUCAAGAGAUAUGUGAACAGCAAGUCCAGGGAUGGG